Molecule: ribosomal RNA, 255 nt
Filed under: Escherichia coli
Lineage: Bacteria; Pseudomonadati; Pseudomonadota; Gammaproteobacteria; Enterobacterales; Enterobacteriaceae
Description: partial 23S ribosomal RNA
Rfam family: Bacterial large subunit ribosomal RNA
Source: RNAcentral
GAGAUUCCCCCAGUAGCGGCGAGCGAACGGGGAGCAGCCCAGAGCCUGAAUCAGUGUGUGUGUUAGUGGAAGCGUCUGGAAAGGCGUGCGAUACAGGGUGACAGCCCCGUACACAAAAAUGCACAUAUUGUGAGCUCGAUGAGUAGGGCGGGACACGUGGUAUCCUGUCUGAAUAUGGGGGGACCAUCCUCCAAGGCUAAAUACUCCUGACUGACCGAUAGUGAACCAGUACCGUGAGGGAAAGGCGAAAAGAAC